RNAcentral lists this ribosomal RNA (492 nucleotides) under uncultured bacterium. Its description in RNAcentral is "partial 16S ribosomal RNA". It matches the Rfam family "Bacterial small subunit ribosomal RNA", at positions 29 to 507 of the family's 1533-position model. The record is from RNAcentral.
AGUGAACGCUGGCGGUAGGCCUAACACAUGCAAGUCGAACGGCAGCACAGUAAGAGCUUGCUCUUACGGGUGGCGAGUGGCGGACGGGUGAGGAAUACAUCGGAAUCUACUUUUUCGUGGGGGAUAACGUAGGGAAACUUACGCUAAUACCGCAUAUGACCUACGGGUGAAAGCAGGGGAUCUUCGGACCUUGCGCGAUUGAAUGAGCCGAUGUCGGAUUAGCUAGUUGGCGGGGUAAUGGCCCACCAAGGCGACGAUCCGUAGCUGGUCUGAGAGGAUGAUCAGCCACACUGGAACUGAGACACGGUCCAGACUCCUACGGGAGGCAGCAGUGGGGAAUAUUGGACAGUGGGCGCAAGCCUGAUCCAGUCAUACCGCGUGGGUGAAGAAGGCCUUCGGGUUGUAAAGCCCUUUUGUUGGGAAAGAAAAGCAGCAGGUUAAUACCCCGCUGUUCUGACGGUACCCAAAGAAUAAGCACCGGCUAACUUCGUG